GGACUACCAGGGUAUCUAAUCCUGUUUGAUCCCCACGCUUUCGCGCCUCAGCGUCAAUGUCGGUCCAGUUGGCCGCCUUCGCCACGGGUGUUCCUCCCAAUCUCUACGAAUUUCACCUCUACACUGGGAAUUCCACCAACCUCUACCGAAUUCGAGCAAGACAGUCUUGAAUGCAAUUCCCGGGUUGAGCCCAGGGCUUUCACAUCCAACUUGUCGAGCCGCCUACGCGCCCUUUACGCCCAGUAAUUCCGAACAACGCUAGCUCCCUUCGUAUUACCGCGGCUGCUGGCAC
Molecule: ribosomal RNA, 292 nt
Filed under: uncultured bacterium
Lineage: Bacteria
Description: partial 16S ribosomal RNA
Source: RNAcentral